Molecule: ribosomal RNA, 495 nt
Filed under: uncultured bacterium
Lineage: Bacteria
Description: partial 16S ribosomal RNA
Rfam family: Bacterial small subunit ribosomal RNA
Source: RNAcentral
GACGAACGCUGGCGGCGUGCCUAAUACAUGCAAGUAGAACGCUGAAGGAGGAGCUUGCUUCUCCGGAUGAGUUGCGAACGGGUGAGUAACGCGUAGGUAACCUGCCUGGUAGCGGGGGAUAACUAUUGGAAACGAUAGCUAAUACCGCAUAACAGUAGAUGUUGCAUGACAUUUGCUUAAAAGGUGCAAUUGCAUCACUACCAGAUGGACCUGCGUUGUAUUGGCUAGUUGGUGAGGUAACGGCUCACCAAGGCGACGAUACAUAGCCGACCUGAGAGGGUGAUCGGCCACACUGGGACUGAGACACGGCCCAGACUCCUACGGGAGGCAGCAGUAGGGAAUCUUCGGCAAUGGACGGAAGUCUGACCGAGCAACGCCGCGUGAGUGAAGAAGGUUUUCGGAUCGUAAAGCUCUGUUGUAAGAGAAGAACGAGUGUGAGAGUGGAAAGUUCACACUGUGACGGUAUCUUACCAGAAAGGGACGGCUAACUACGUG